UACAGGGGGUGCAAACGUUGCUCGGAAUUACUGGGCGUAAAGCGCGUGUAGGCGGACUGGUGUGUCGGAUGUGAAAUCCCCAGGCUCAACCUGGGAACUGCAUUCGAAACUGCCAGCCUUGAGUGGUGGAGAGGGAAGUGGAAUUCCUGGUGUAGAGGUGAAAUUCGUAGAUAUCAGGAGGAACACCAGUGGCGAAGGCGGCUUCCUGGACACCAACUGACGCUGAGACGCGAAAGCGUGGGGAGCAAACAGG
RNAcentral lists this ribosomal RNA (253 nucleotides) under uncultured bacterium. RNAcentral describes it as "partial 16S ribosomal RNA". It matches the Rfam family "Bacterial small subunit ribosomal RNA", at positions 524 to 776 of the family's 1533-position model. The record is from RNAcentral.